RNAcentral lists this ribosomal RNA (495 nucleotides) under uncultured bacterium. Its description in RNAcentral is "partial 16S ribosomal RNA". It matches the Rfam family "Bacterial small subunit ribosomal RNA", at positions 28 to 507 of the family's 1533-position model. The record is from RNAcentral.
GAUGAACGCUGGCGGCGUGCCUAAUACAUGCAAGUAGAACGCUGAAGGAGGAGCUUGCUCUUCUGGAUGAGUUGCGAACGGGUGAGUAACGCGUAGGUAACCUGCCUGGUAGCGGGGGAUAACUAUUGGAAACGAUAGCUAAUACCGCAUGACAACAGUUAUUGCAUGAUGACUGUUUAAAAGGGGCAACUGCUCCACUACCAGAUGGACCUGCGUUGUAUUAGCUAGUUGGUGAGGUAACGGCUCACCAAGGCGACGAUACAUAGCCGACCUGAGAGGGUGAUCGGCCACACUGGGACUGAGACACGGCCCAGACUCCUACGGGAGGCAGCAGUAGGGAAUCUUCGGCAAUGGACGGAAGUCUGACCGAGCAACGCCGCGUGAGUGAAGAAGGUUUUCGGAUCGUAAAGCUCUGUUGUAAGAGAAGAACGAGUGUGAGAGUGGAAAGUUCACACUGUGACGGUAUCUUACCAGAAAGGGACGGCUAACUACGUG